CUAGCUGGGAGGUGUACUGUACUCUACUGACUGUAGCUGGGAGGUGUACUGUAGCUGGGAGGUGUACUGUACUCUACUGACUAGCUGGGAGGUGUACUGUACUCUACUGACUGUAGCUGGGAGGUGUACUGUAGCUGGGAGGUGUACUGUACUCUACUGACUAGCUGGGAGGUGUAGUAGCUGGGAGGUGUACUGUACUCUACUGAC
Molecule: non-coding RNA, 207 nt
Organism: Salvelinus sp. IW2-2015
Lineage: Eukaryota; Metazoa; Chordata; Actinopteri; Salmoniformes; Salmonidae
Source: RefSeq, a predicted model, not a curated record